UACGAAGGGUGCAAGCGUUACUCGGAAUUACUGGGCGUAAAGCGUGCGUAGGUGGUUUGUUAAGUCUGUUGUGAAAGCCCCGGGCUCAACCUGGGAAUGGCAAUGGAUACUGGCAGGCUAGAGUGCGGUAGAGGGUAGUGGAAUUCCCGGUGUAGCGGUGAAAUGCGUAGAGAUCGGGAGGAACACCAGUGGCGAAGGCGGCUACCUGGACCAGCACUGACACUGAGGCACGAAGCGUGGGGAGCAAACAGG
Molecule: ribosomal RNA, 252 nt
Filed under: uncultured bacterium
Lineage: Bacteria
Description: partial 16S ribosomal RNA
Rfam family: Bacterial small subunit ribosomal RNA
Source: RNAcentral